Molecule: long non-coding RNA, 604 nt
Filed under: Lathyrus oleraceus (garden pea)
Lineage: Eukaryota; Viridiplantae; Streptophyta; Magnoliopsida; Fabales; Fabaceae
Description: Pisum sativum (pea) long non-coding RNA (PSAT_LNC003228)
Source: RNAcentral
CAAAAAAAAUCCAACAAUAAUAAAGUUAUUUUUAUUAUAGUUGAUAAGAUUUAUAUUCUAGAUUUUUGAUCAUGAUUUAGAUGUUAAUAUUCACAGUAGAAACUUCUAAUCAACAUACAAUAUCAUCUCUUUUUUGUGAUAUGUUAAAUUCAAACUUAUUACCAAACAGUGUAGAAACUCAAAAAUCAACAUACUAUAUCAACUUUUUGUGUAAUAAUUGAACUGAAAUAAUUGUGCUUGGACAUCAAAGAGGCUAAUUCACUGCUCAUUGAGUUCAGGAAUAACACGAGAAGAGAUUGAGCACGAAAAUGCACCAUCACACAACGAGCAAGUGAGGUCACUCAAUCCCACCCAAUGCGCCUUGGACAUGAAUCAUUCGCUUUAGCCCAAUGCGCUUCAACCCGAGCACAUAAAGAUUUGUCAAGACACGCAUGAGAGAAAUAAUUGCAAGACUCAUCUAUCCAAUAAGGUAAUUGUAUUCCCUAUUAAUAUAGAGGAUUGAUUCCUCUAACCCCCCACGAUUUGGAGGAAUGGUUAGGUCUGGAGUCUAGUUCUUUAACAACAACUUGGCUUAAGAAUCAAGUUGGACAUCCAUGGAGGAAAC